This 228-nucleotide long non-coding RNA is filed under the name Elaeis guineensis (African oil palm). RNAcentral's name for it is "long non-coding RNA (EGUI_LNC073991)". The record is from RNAcentral. Lineage: Eukaryota; Viridiplantae; Streptophyta; Magnoliopsida; Arecales; Arecaceae.
AUGUCACAUACUUCUAAUAUUACCAACUUGGCCAUAUUAGUGAGUUAAAGAUAAACAAGUUAUACAAAGCAGAGUUCUUUGAUCGAUUUUGAAUUAUAUAGAACUUGUGUUAAAAAAAAUCAGACCGCUGUGGUAUGUUUAAGAUUAAUCAGGAACAAGAGAGAAGGAGAUUAAUCAUGCCCUAGGGUGUACAAGAGGAGAAGAAAAAGAGAAGGGAGACAAGGGACU